GACGAACGCUGGCGGCGUGCUUAACACAUGCAAGUCGAACGCUGAAGCUCAGCUUUUGUUGGGUGGAUGAGUGGCGAACGGGUGAGUAACACGUGAGUAACCUGCCUCCUUCUUUGGGAUAACGCCCGGAAACGGGUGCUAAUACUGGAUAUUCACUGGUCUUCGCAUGGGGGUUGGUGGAAAGGGUUUUUCUGGUGGGGGAUGGGCUCGCGGCCUAUCAGCUUGUUGGUGGGGUGAUGGCCUACCAAGGCUUUGACGGGUAGCCGGCCUGAGAGGGUGACCGGUCACAUUGGGACUGAGAUACGGCCCAGACUCCGACGGGAGGCAGCAGUGGGGAAUAUUGCACAAUGGGCGCAAGCCUGAUGCAGCGACGCCACGUGAGGGAUGGAGGCCUUCGGGUUGUGAACCUCUUUCGCUCAUGGUCAAGCCGCAACAAUGGUUGUGGUGAGGGUAGUGGGUAAAGAAGCGCCGGCUAACUACGUG
Molecule: ribosomal RNA, 483 nt
Filed under: uncultured bacterium
Lineage: Bacteria
Description: partial 16S ribosomal RNA
Rfam family: Bacterial small subunit ribosomal RNA
Source: RNAcentral